GGCGACGCCGAGCGGAACCCGAAAAGGCGCCUCAGUUCGGAUUGGAGUCUGCAACCCGACUCCAUGAAGCUGGAUUCGCAGUAAUCGCGCAUCAGCCACGGCGCGGUGAAUACGUUCCCGGGCCUUGUACACACCGCCCGUCAAGCCAUGGGAGCCGGGAGUGCCUGAAGUGCGCGGCCGCGAGGAGCGCCCUAGGGCAAGACUGGUGACUGGGGCUAAGUCGUAACAAGGUAUC
Molecule: ribosomal RNA, 235 nt
Filed under: uncultured bacterium
Lineage: Bacteria
Description: partial 16S ribosomal RNA
Rfam family: Bacterial small subunit ribosomal RNA
Source: RNAcentral